GGCUCUUGUAGGGAAGCCCAGGUUUGCUAGCUAUGAUCAAGAAUUCUCUCCGUGUGGGCUGAGUAGGCUUCCACUAAAGUAGGCCCUGCCUGUGCUACUAAAGCAGGGUCAGAAACAGUUCUGGGUCUGCUUCUCUAUGGGAAAGAUCUUUUACCCAGCUGCAACUCCAGAGCAAGCCUCUGGAAGGUAGUUUCAGCCCCUUGUCUUCCUCCCACUUUACCUGUCAGGACUUUUUUGUUCCAGGGACAAACUGAUUUCAGUAGUCCUGGGGAGGACUGGGCAAGAUUUACUAACCAGUACAGAUAGGUUGAGUUUGCCUACAGGAAUGCAAAAGGCUCAGGAAUGCUGCCUUCCUAGACAGUAUGCCCAACUAGAUGGGAUGAUGGCAUCAAGAUCGUUUUCCCUUACUGUUACCACCUACCCACCUUAUCCUGGAAAGCUUUCUAGCUUCUGCCUCAUAUUGUCUUGUCUGUUGGGUCCAGAGAACAGACAUGGGUCUCCCUAUUUUCCCAGCACACCUCCACCCCUUUAUUUGUUCCUAGGGGGAACUGCCCUAGGGUUCAGGGUGUGGAGUCUUCCCAGAAGUGUUUCAGAGCAAUGGAAGGUUCUUCUUUCCCCUUUUUAUUUAAGCAGGGAGUAAUCUUCAGUGUUGUACACAAAACAGGGAGGUUUUUUAAUUUUCCUGCAAGUCAAGUGCAGUUAUUUGGUGUACACUGUGGAAGGAUGCAGGACUGCUGUCCUGGGGAAGGCUUACUCUUGAAUAUGGAAGGUAGGGUUGGAUCUUGGACAGCUUCAACAAGUUGAGGCCAUCCCUUGGCCUCUCUGAGGCCUCAUUUUCCCCAUCUAAAAAACGUUCAUUACCUUAUUCAAUCCCCAAUACAGCCUGCACAGCAGGCCGCCUUAGCUUCAUUUCAUAGAUGAGAAAACACUCAGGGGGCUGCUGUUUUACUUGCCCACAAGGCCGCGCAGCUUGAUUGAAUUCAAGACUGUGACUCUGUAACCCUUGUGUCCAUCAGUAGGUAUUCAGAGCUUGAUACGUGACUCAGUGUAUUCUGUGUCCCACCACAGGCAGUUUCCUUUGCCCUCUCAUAGUCUACUUCAUGUCCACGGUGAGAAGGCCUCAGGAUUUAAGUCCUGCUGUGCGAGAUGCCUAUGGUUCAGGCCUGAUUAGAUCUGCCAGAGUAUGGGAUCUUGCCCGAGUACGGGGUAGUUAGUGGAGCAGCCAGAGGCCUGGAUCAGCUUCAGGGGCUCUGCCUGUUGGGUGCACAGAACAGAUACAGGUCUCCUUGUAUCUGUCACCCCUCCUUUUAUAUUUGUUCCUGGGGGAACAAACAGCCCUAAGGUUCAGGGUGUGGAGUCUUCUCAGAAGUAUUUUGGAGCAGUGGAAGACUCUUUCCCCCUUCUAUUUAAGCAGGGAGUAAUCUUUGGUGUUGCACACAAAACAGGGAAGUUUUUGGUAUUUCAGAAUCAUUUUGUCCAGUGGACCAUUCCUGGCCAGAGCUCAACAUUGCUGGCUGCUUUAUUCCCUGUCCUCCCCAAGUCCCACCAUUUCAAUUUACAGGAAAGAGCCUAUGGCACCUCCCCCUCCCCAGGUUAAGGACCAUUCUGGGUUUUGUAGUCAUCUAAGCACUUCAUAAUUUUUUAGUCUCACCAUCUAUGAGUUCUUUCCUUAAAUAGCUUGUUCCCUUCCCCCUUUAACAAAAUUAAGUUCUAUAGCAUGCAUUAGUAAGUUGCUUUUGUUCAGUAUUGUAUGAAAGAGAUCUUGUAAUGUACCCACACCCAUAUUGUGUGAAACUGUGGCUCUUUUACUAUAUAGUAUGUGUUUUGUGUGAACAAAGACACCAGGACACAUGGGCUUGCAACAUGGGGUGUCACAUCAUGCUCCACAGACAUCCUGGAGUUUUGGGGCAAAACCCAAACCAGUAUUGGUACCACCUUUAUUUAAAACCCUGAUAUUUUGGGGUAAUGGUUAUUUUUCUGGCCAUCUAAUAGUUAGUUCUACAGCUUUAUGAAAGUUUUCCUCACUGACCUAUGCUACUUCCAAAGUUUCUCUGAGUGCCUACAUCCUAUACACAUUUCUGGUGCUGUGCCAACAACAGUGCUAACUACCUCUUUAUAAAGUUAGGCUUGACAGCUACUAGAACAAGCCUUCCUCUCUUUCUUCCUAAAUAUUUUGGUGAUUAACUGCCCUUAGUGCUUCUAAGUACAUUCCAGAAUACCCUGCUGAUCAGAGUGUUUUAAAUGGAACUUCAAAAGUAUAGCAGUAGGCAAAAGUUCUAAGAUGUUGUCUAGCUUAUAAAUCCUUUAACCCAUUUUAUAGGUGUUCCACAUCUAUAACAGUCUAAACACAGUCUACAUAAAUACUAUUAAUAUUGACAUGUAAGCUCUAGAUUGUCCUUCAUCCUAUUUUACUGCACCUAUGUCAAUAUAUUUAACUCAGUCCCCUGUCUUUAGUGUUAACCAACCUAUCAGUACUGGCUGAUUCUGUCAUGCAUGAGGCACCCUCUUUCAACUCCAAUAACAUUUUGUUUUUAUGAAAGAAAUAUUUACAAAAAGUCUUCCCUAGAUGAAGUUGAUCUGAAUGCAUGUUUGUCAGUCACUAUGUUUUAAACAUAGUAAACCAACAGGUUUCCUUAAGCAUGAAACAGUUUCACUUUAAAAGACUAAAAUCGCAAGUCUUUACAAGUCUGUCCUGAGCAAUGAACCCUGUCAGACCUACCACCAGGAUGACUGGCUCAUCUGGCAGAUGGUGUGGAAGAAGACCUGUUCAGGCUCUCUGAUUAUGUUCAGAUAGAUAGACAUAGACACUUAAGCAUGUUUAAUUAUCAGUUCAAAGUGGAGCUGAAGAAAUUCCCUUCUCUGAGUCACGCUUGGGUAAAGGUUCUUGAAGUUCAAAUUGGUAUACUUUUAAAAAAUACUUGAAAUGAAACACCAUCUAAAAGAGGGUGAUUAUUUGGCUUUCAGCUUUCUCGACUUUUAGCUUAGUGUAGCUCAAAGACCAGGUACCCAGAUAUCUUUGAACUGGGGAGGUCUUUGAUUACCUGAGCAAGAUCAAGAUUAAAC
This 3063-nucleotide long non-coding RNA is filed under the name Marmota monax (woodchuck). Lineage: Eukaryota; Metazoa; Chordata; Mammalia; Rodentia; Sciuridae. The record is from RNAcentral.